Caretta caretta (loggerhead turtle) is the source of this 111-nucleotide small nuclear RNA. RefSeq annotates it as U5 spliceosomal RNA. The record is from RefSeq and is a predicted model, not a curated record. Lineage: Eukaryota; Metazoa; Chordata; Testudines; Cheloniidae.
UGUUUCUGCCUUCAAAUCAUAUAAAUCUUUCGCCUUUUACUAAAGAUUUCCGUGGAGAGGAACAUUUCCGAGUUUCUACCCACUUUUUUUGUUUGUUUACUAUAUACAUAC